GAUGAACGCUAGCGGCAGGCCUAAUACAUGCAAGACGAACGGUAAGUUGAGUAGCAAUACUUAGCCGAGAGUGUCGUACGGGUGCGUAACACGUAUGCAACCUACCCUAUACAGGAGGAUAGCCUAGGGAAACCUGGAUUAACCCUUCAUAGUAUUAUUGGAUGGCAUCAUUUGAUAAUUAAAACUGAGGUGGUAUAGGAUGGGCAUGCGUCUGAUUAGUUAGUUGGCGGGUAAUGGCCCACCAAGACGAUGAUCAGUAGGGGUUCUGAGAGGAAGAUCCCCCACACUGGCACUGAGAUACGGGCCAGACUCCUACGGGAGCAGCAGUAGGGAAUAUUGGGUCAAUGGAUGCAAGUCUGAACCAGCCAUGCCGCGUGCAGGAAGAAGGCCUCCUGGGUUGUAAACUGCUUUUGCCAGGGGAAUAAAUUCCAUGCGUAGAAACUGAAGGUACCUGGUAGAAAUAACGCCGACGGACUAACUACGUGCCAGCAGCCG
Molecule: ribosomal RNA, 495 nt
Filed under: uncultured bacterium
Lineage: Bacteria
Description: bacterial SSU rRNA
Rfam family: Bacterial small subunit ribosomal RNA
Source: RNAcentral